Molecule: ribosomal RNA, 421 nt
Filed under: Fusobacterium necrophorum
Lineage: Bacteria; Fusobacteriati; Fusobacteriota; Fusobacteriia; Fusobacteriales; Fusobacteriaceae
Description: bacterial SSU rRNA
Rfam family: Bacterial small subunit ribosomal RNA
Source: RNAcentral
UGGCGGACGGGUGAGUAACACGUGAGGAAGUUGUCCAUCGGUGGGGGAUAACUAGCCGAAAGGUUAGCUAAUACCGCAUACGAUCUAUGAGGGGCAUCUCUUAUAGAUGAAAGGAGCAAUCCGCUUUCGGACGGGACCGCGUCCCAUUAGCUAGAUGGUGGGGUAAUGGCCUACCAAGGCGUUGAUCAGUAGCUGGUCUGAGAGGAUGGUCAGCCACACUGGGACUGCGACACGGCCCAGACUCCUACGGGAGGCAGCAGCAAGGAAUUUUCGGCAAUGGGGGCAACCCUGACCGAGCAACGCCGCGUGGAGGAUGAAGGUUUUCGGAUUGUAAACUCCUUUUUGGUGGGAAGACUAAAAGAAGGACGGUACCACCAGAAUAAGCCUCGGCUAACUCCGUGCCAGCAGCCGCGGUAAUACG